CUACGGGUUGCAGCAGUGAGGAAUAUUGCACAACGGGGGGAACCCUGAUGCAGCAACGCCGCAUGGAGGAUGACGCAUUUCGGUGUGUAAACUCCUUUUAUAUGUCAAGAAAAUGACGGUAGCAUAUGAAUAAGCACCGGCUAACUCCGUGCCAGCAGCCGCGGUAAUACGGAGGGUGCAAGCGUUACUCGGAAUCACUGGGCGUAAAGGGAGCGUAGGCGGGUUGGAAAGUCAGGUGUGAAAUCCUACAGCUUAACUGUAGAACUGCACUUGAAACUUCUAAUCUAGAGUAUGGGAGGGGGAGAUGGAAUUAGUGGUGUAGGGGUAAUAUCCGUAGAUAUCACUAGGAAUACCUAAAGCGAAGGCGAUCUCCUGGAACAUUACUGACGCUAAGGCGUGAAAGCGUGGGGAGCAAACAGGAUUAGAUACCCCAGUAGUC
Molecule: ribosomal RNA, 439 nt
Filed under: uncultured bacterium
Lineage: Bacteria
Description: partial 16S ribosomal RNA
Rfam family: Bacterial small subunit ribosomal RNA
Source: RNAcentral